RNAcentral lists this non-coding RNA (32 nucleotides) under Rattus norvegicus (Norway rat). The record is from RNAcentral. Lineage: Eukaryota; Metazoa; Chordata; Mammalia; Rodentia; Muridae.
UGCCGAACUUCGAGUGGCCCAGAAAGGACCAU